This 495-nucleotide ribosomal RNA is filed under the name uncultured bacterium. RNAcentral's name for it is "partial 16S ribosomal RNA". It matches the Rfam family "Bacterial small subunit ribosomal RNA", at positions 28 to 507 of the family's 1533-position model. The record is from RNAcentral.
GACGAACGCUGGCGGCGUGCCUAAUACAUGCAAGUAGAACGCUGAAGGAGGAGCUUGCUUCUCUGGAUGAGUUGCGAACGGGUGAGUAACGCGUAGGUAACCUGCCUGGUAGCGGGGGAUAACUAUUGGAAACGAUAGCUAAUACCGCAUAAUAGCAGUUAUUGCAUGAUAACUGUUUGAAAGGUGCAAUUGCACCACUACCAGAUGGACCUGCGUUGUAUUAGCUAGUUGGUGGGGUAACGGCUCACCAAGGCGACGAUACAUAGCCGACCUGAGAGGGGGAUCGGCCACACUGGGACUGAGACACGGCCCAGACUCCUACGGGAGGCAGCAGUAGGGAAUCUUCGGCAAUGGACGGAAGUCUGACCGAGCAACGCCGCGUGAGUGAAGAAGGUUUUCGGAUCGUAAAGCUCUGUUGUAAGAGAAGAACGAGUGUGAGAGUGGAAAGUUCACACUGUGACGGUAUCUUACCAGAAAGGGACGGCUAACUACGUG